Molecule: ribosomal RNA, 78 nt
Filed under: Herbaspirillum sp. SJZ107
Lineage: Bacteria; Pseudomonadati; Pseudomonadota; Betaproteobacteria; Burkholderiales; Oxalobacteraceae
Source: RNAcentral
CAUCCCGAACAGGACCGUGAAACGACUUUGCGCCGAUGAUAGUGCUGCAACCAGUGUGAAAGUAGGUUAUCGUCAGGC